Molecule: ribosomal RNA, 200 nt
Filed under: uncultured bacterium
Lineage: Bacteria
Description: partial 16S ribosomal RNA
Rfam family: Bacterial small subunit ribosomal RNA
Source: RNAcentral
AUUCCUACGGGAGGCAGCAGUGGGGAAUUUUGGACAAUGGGGGCAACCCUGAUCCAGCCAUGCCGCGUGAGUGAAGAAGGCCUUCGGGUUGUAAAGCUCUUUCGGCCGGAACGAAAUCGUGCGGGUGAACAACCCGCGUGGAUGACGGUACCGGAAGAAGGAGCACCGGCUAACUACGUGCCAGCAGCCGCGGUAAUAAU